Molecule: ribosomal RNA, 465 nt
Filed under: uncultured Klebsiella sp.
Lineage: Bacteria; Pseudomonadati; Pseudomonadota; Gammaproteobacteria; Enterobacterales; Enterobacteriaceae
Description: bacterial SSU rRNA
Rfam family: Bacterial small subunit ribosomal RNA
Source: RNAcentral
CCUACGGGAGGCUGCAGUGGGGAAUAUUGCACAAUGGGCGCAAGCCUGAUGCAGCCAUGCCGCGUGUGUGAAGAAGGCCUUCGGGUUGUAAAGCACUUUCAGCGGGGAGGAAGGCGUUAAGGUUAAUAACCUUGUCGAUUGACGUUACCCGCAGAAGAAGCACCGGCUAACUCCGUGCCAGCAGCCGCGGUAAUACGGAGGGUGCAAGCGUUAAUCGGAAUUACUGGGCGUAAAGCGCACGCAGGCGGUCUGUCAAGUCGGAUGUGAAAUCCCCGGGCUCAACCUGGGAACUGCAUUCGAAACUGGCAGGCUAGAGGGUAGGAGAGGGGGGUAGAAGUCCAGGUGUAGCGGUGAAAUGCGUAGAGAUCUGGAGGAAUACCGGUGGCGAAGGCGGCCCCCUGGACAAAGACUGACGCUCAGGUGCGAAAGCGUGGGGAGCAAACAGGAUUAGAUACCCCAGUAGGC